This 6885-nucleotide long non-coding RNA is filed under the name Lathyrus oleraceus (garden pea). Its description in RNAcentral is "Pisum sativum (pea) long non-coding RNA (PSAT_LNC039769)". The record is from RNAcentral. Lineage: Eukaryota; Viridiplantae; Streptophyta; Magnoliopsida; Fabales; Fabaceae.
AGUUCUAACAGCAUAUUAGCAAUUGUACGUAAGUUUAGUCCUUUAAAAAAAUGCUAAUCUAAAAGAUCGAAUCUCAUUCUCCGUUUGUUCCUCAUUCUAUGUUUUUUUUAACACAUUGUAAAAUUCUACUCCCUCUAUCUCAAAUUAUAAAUCAUUUUCUCUAAACUUACGUAGAAUUGUUUAUAUACUGUUAGAACUGUUUUCCCUAAGACCCUAAACCCUAUAUAUAUAUAUAUAUAUAUAUAUAUAUAUAUAUAUAUAUAUAUAUAUAAGGUUCAAGAUUUAAGUCUUUUUUAUUUUAAUUUUUGUAAUUGAAUUGUUUAUUUAAAAAAAAGGAUAUAACAUAGGUGCAGUUCCAAUGAUAUUUUUGGUGCUUUUUUUCAUUCAUAAGGUGAUAUCUGUCUAAAACUUAACGUCAAAUUCAGAUCCUCUACCAAAACAUGACUAUGUCGUACAUUUGUUUUUCCAAAAAUGGGAGAUUAACUCCACAUGUUAUAUCAUGAACGGAAAAUAGUUCUAACAGCAUAUAAGCAAUUGUACGUAAGUUUAGUCCUUUAAAAAAAUGCAAAUCUAAAAGAUCGAAUCUCAUUCUCCGUUUGUUCUUCAUUCUAUGUUUUUUUAACACAUUGUAGAAUUCUACUCCCUCUAUCUCAAAUUGUAAAUCAUUUUCUCUAAACUUACGUACAAUUGCUUAUAUACUGUUAGAACUGCUUUCCCUAAAUAAUAACAACAAAACCCCUUUUUAACACAUUUUGAAUCUAUAUACUUGUUUUUGUUUGUGGUCUUUUGACCUUAAUGUACAUAAUAACAACAAAAACCCUAAAAGACAUUUGUGUGGAUUGUUGGAUUUGAUAUGAGACAUUGGACUUAGAAUUAGGAAACAUUCCAUAUGCAAAAGGACUUGGCCAAUGCCAACUUUCAUGAAACCAAGUGCUUGUGAAGUGAAUUUUCAUCUAAAGCAAGUGUUGAGAUCGCAUUUGAGUUCAUCUGCUACAUGGUCUUAUUGAAGUUGUUACUUUGAACUUGUGAUUAAUGCCUAUCUCUGAUUUCAUCUAAUAUAUGGGAGAUUUUGAAGAAGAUCAUGGAGUUGUUAAGCUUGGAUGUGGCUAUCUUUAUUUGAUGCUUUGCUCUUCAUCUUGCUAUUUGUGUAUUGAUAUUGCUUGAAUCUAAAGUCCAAGGGAAAUUUGGGUUUCUAUAUGACAUUCUCCACCCCACUGGUCAUAUCUUUUCAACUCUUAACUUUUAAAUUUGUGCUUAGGAUUAGUCUCUUCAACUCACCCCAGAUUCUUUAGUUUCAAAUCUCUCCCUCUUUUUAAAAUCUUCUUUGCUUGUGUUUUUUUCUAAACUUAGACCAUAUUGCAAAUUUGAAACUUUGGCCUUAUGCCAUUUCAUUUUUAAACUCUUUUCUUAAUCAAAUUUAUAAAUGAAUCUAAUCAUAUUGACUUAAAAUUUCAAAAGACAAAAAGAACUAACACUCAUUCAAACCUUUUUGGGCCUUUGUUAAAAUUAAAUUUUUGUUAAAAUCAAUGCAUUCACUUUGAAAUUGUUACCACAUACUACGAGGUAUUGAUCCCUUAUUUUUAUGUUGGUACGUAGGCACAAGUCUGAAGGUCUUGUCAAACACAAAAAUAUAGUUAUGGUUUUCAGCAUAAGAUGUGAAUUCCCUUUGAGAAACACUAUAGGAAAUUUCACCCCUAAGACCAAAAAGAAAUUGAUCAAUCUUCCACCUCUCAUCAGGUGCGUACGCGGCCUGCCUAGAAUAAGCAGCCAUAUCUUCGAACUUCUCAGCAUACGUACCUACUGACAUAGUACCCUGCCUAAUCUAUUGAAUUCAAACUCUUUCUGAAUCCUCAAAGAACUGGGAAAAUACUUAUCUAGGAAAAUAGUCUUAAAAUGCUCCCAAUCCCUAUGUGCUUCUUGAUUGGUCAUAAGAGUCAAAGAACUCUCCCACCAUCUCACAGCUGGACCCUUCAUCAUGUGAGCAGAAAACACAAACUUAUUCUCUUCACUAUAAUGCACUAUCUGAAAAAUCCUUUCCAUGCUCGUUAUCCACUCCUAAGCCUUCACAAGAUUCAACCCACCAUGGAAUUUAGGAGGAUUCAUGCGAAAGAAAUCUCGGAAACUACCACCUGCAUACCACCUGCAGCUUCUUGUGGAACCCCUCGAGGAUGCAAACCACCAUUCCAUUGUUGCAUCAUCUGUUGCAUGAAUUGGUUCUGUUGCUGUUGCAUCUGUUGCACAAACUGAGGCCAUUGAAAACCAUAACUACCACUUGGCGGUUCAGAGUCUGAAUUAUGGGUUCUGGGUCUACCAUGACCUUCGCGUCUGUCAACCAUGAUCCUGAAUGUCAUACAAAUAGGAUUAAGUUGAUCAGACUCAAUACUAUGAAUAUAACCCCAAGGAUAAUGAUAAAAAAACCACAUAUGAAGCAAAAAGAAAUACUUAUAAUAUAUCAUAGCUAGGUCGAGGAUACGACCUGCUCUGAUACCAACUGUAACACCCAACUGUAACACCCAUAUAUACUUGUAAAGUCAUGCAUAAUGUAACACCCACAUAUAAUAUAUGUCUAGAAUACAUAUUAUACAUAGUGUAACACUAGUACUGAAAUACAUAAGCGCCUAGCGGCACGGUGUACAUAUACAUACAUGCCCGAAAGAAACAUAACAUGGCAUAAAAUGUACACAAAAGUGCCCAAAAUAAAACUACUAGAAACUAGAUCAUUAAACAAUGAUCCCAUAAAUAUCUACACAACGAAAUAGCCAUCCAGUCUCCAGGUAAGCAAGACAUCACUCUAUCUUGACCUUACCUUCUCCUGCUCAGAAGCACAUGAAAAAAUAAUCAACAACAUGGGGUGAGAUAAUAAUCUCAGUGGGUUCCCUAUCUUAUGGGUCCACUCGGCUCUACAGGGAUUUCUAAUCGAUAUUCAACUCAUAUUCAACUCAAGUCAACAAGGGAAACUUAUGGGUCCACUCGGCUCUACAGGGAUUUCUAAUCGAUAUUCAACUCAUAUUCAACUCAAGUCAACAAGGGAACAAAGAAUUGAGCGAUGGGGAAACUAACUCGCAAUGUAUGGCAACAUGCACCCGAGUUCUCAGAACUCAACCACGAUCAUUAUUCAGAUCACGACGCAUCAAUUCCGGAACGGACUUACGUCUAAGCCAGACCCGAUUCAUGCAUGCUCGUAUGGUUCGACGUUCACGAUGGAUAUUAGGUUCUCUUAUGGGACUCGAACCCACUUUUAAGAACUGUCACUAUUAUAAGACUCGAACCCAAUAUUUAGUCUCUUUCACCGUAUGGGGCUCUAACCUACUCAGGUGUCCACCUUUCCCCCAUGUCCGCCAUUGUUGGGACUCAAACCCAAUUGAGGCUCGAAUCAUCAGUCUCACAUCUCAAUUCUUACUCAUCUAAGCAUACCACAUAGAGAUGUGUACCAUUACAGAAAAAAAACAUUCUGAAUACAUGAUCGGUUCCACAAAUCAUCAGUCCCACAAACCAUAACAAGAUCCAUCAAUCACGGGUGACUUCAUUCACCAUAAUACACAAACAAUAGCAUGGCAUGUUCCAUACAAUGCAUCUCAUUCUCAAACACAACAACCAUUCCUCCACGACCUCCACAUAAGCGCCGUACGAAUGAAUAUCGUUUCCGAAUAUUAUCUAGGUUACAAACCUAACUCAUGACCUAAUUUCAAUCCUAGGUUAACUCACUGGAUUCAUCUUAUAAUUUUCACCAUUAGCAUGUGUUCAACAUAAGCAUAUCAUCACAAUUGAUUAAUGGUUGGAAGAAUGCAUUUAGAAACACUUAAGAAAUAGAUUUUGAAGUUUUUAACAUAAGUCAAUUGAUUGGUUGGGUUGGCCCAAUCAAUUGGUUCCUCUCACAUUUCUGUUUUUCAAAGUUUGCUGAGGAUCAAUCGAUUGAUCAUGAGUGUCAAUCGAUUGGCUCACUAAAAAAUUUCCACUGUUCAUAUACAGAAAGUUUGUGCAAUCGAUUGUAAUGCACUGUCAAUCGAUUGGUCCUGUAAAAGUCACAUUUUUCUGCAAAACAACAAGUUGUGCAAUCGAUUGAUGAAAGGGACCAAUGGAUUGGUCCACUCACAUUUUCACAUUUCCAAUUCACAGAACACCAUAUCCUCUAUUAUUCCAUUUCUAACAAAACAUCACUUUUUCUUCCAACAAAACCCAUCAUACUACAUGUUCUUAUACACAUAUACAUCAAGGAUUCCAAGCUCAUAAUCACAAGGAUUUCAAAGUCAUAAUCACAACCAAUCAUUUUACCACAACCAUAACAAAUCAUGUUAUCACAAUAAUCAUAAGAACACAUCAAAGCACAUGUUCAUGGAAAUCAACAAGAGCAAGAAAAAUAUUCAUCGUAUAACAUGGAUUUUCAUGAUUUAUCUAUGAUUCUACAACCCUAAUCUUCUAGAAAUCUAGGAGAGCAAGAAAAAUAUUCAUCGUAUAACAUGGAUUUUCAUGAUUUAUCUAUGAUUCUACAACCCUAAUCUUCUAGAAAUCUAGGGUUUCUGACUAGAACCCACCUCAAAAAUGGAAGAGGAGAAGUUGAUGAAGAUGAGAUGAGGAUGAAUAUGAUGGUGUUGGUUCCAAGAUAUUUUUGGUGCUUUUUUUCAUUCACAAAGUGAUAUCUGUCUAAAACUUAACGUCACAUUCAGAUCCUCUACCAAAACAUGACUGUGUCGUACUUUUAUUUUUCCAAAAAUGGGAGAUUAACUCCACAUGUUAUAUCAUGAAUGGAAAACUGUUCUAACAGCAUAUUAGCAAUUGUACGUAAGUUUAGUCCUUUAUAAAAAUGCUAAUCUAAAAGAUCGAAUCUCAUUCUCCGUUGGUUCUUCAUUCUAUGUUUUUUUUAACACAUUGUAAAAUUCUACUCCCUCUAUCUCAAAUUAUAAAUCAUUUUCUCUAAACUUACGUACAAUUGCUUAUAUACUGUUAGAAUUGUUUUCCCUAAAACCCUAAUCUAUUCUCCGUUGUUUUCUAUCUAUGCUUUUUUAACACAUUGUAAAAUUCUAACCCUCUAUCUCAAAUUAUAAAUCAUUUUCUCUAAACUUACGUACAAUUCCUUAUUAUAUUGUUAGAACUGUUUUCCCUAAAACCCUAAACCCUAACCCUAAAUAUAUAAUAUAUAUAUAUAUAUAUAUAUAUAUAUAUUAAUAUAUAUAUAAUUAUAUAUAAUAUAUAUAUAUAUAUAUAUAUAUAUAUAUAUAUAUAUAUAUAUAUAUAUAUUAUAUAUAUAAUAUAUAUAUAUAUAUAUAUAUAUAUAUAUAUAUAUAUAUAUAUAUAUAUAUAUAAGUUAAAGAUUUAAGUCUUUUUAUUUUAUUUGUAAUGAAUUUUUAUUUUAAAAAAAGAUAAACAUUGGUGCAGUUCCAAUGAUAUUUUUGGUGCUUUUUUUCAUUCAUAAGGUGAUAUCUGUCUAAACUUAACGUCACAUUCAGAUCUCUACCAAAACAUGACUGUGUCGUACAUUAUUUUUCCAAAAAUGGGAGAUUAACUCCACAUGUUAAUCAUGAAUGGAAAACAGUUCUAACACAUAAGCAAUUGUACAAGUUUAGUCCUUUAAAAAAUGCUAUCUAAAAAGAAUCUCAUUCUCCGUUGUUCUUCUUUUAUGUUUUUUUUACACUUGUAAAAUUCUACUCCUCUAUUCAAAUUUAAAUCAUUUUCUCUAAACUUACGUACAAUUCUUAUAUAUUUAGAACUGUUCCCUAAAACCCUAAACCUAAACCCUAUAUAUAUAUAUAUAUAUAUAUAUAUAUAUAUAUAAAAUAUAUAUAUAUAUUAAAAUAAUAUAUAUAUAUAUUAUAUAUAUAUAUAUAUAUAUAUAUAUAUAUAAGGUUUAGGGUUUAGAGUUUUAGGGAAAAUAANACCCUAACCAUAAAUAAUUGUAUAUCUAUUAUAUAUUAUUUAUUAUAUAUAUAUUAUAUAAUAUAUAUAUAUAUAUUAUAUAUAUAAUAUUAUAUAUAUUAUUAUAUAUAUAUAUAUAUAUAUAUAUAUAUAUAUAUAUAUAUAUAUAUAUAUAUAUAUAUAUAUAUAUAGGUUAAAGAUUUAAGUCUUUUAUUUUUAUUUUAUUUUGUAAUUGAAUUGUUUAUUUAAAAAAAGGAUAAAACAUAGUGCAGUUCCAAUGAUAUUUUUGGUGCUUUUUUUCAUAUUAGGUGAUAUCUGUCUAAAACUUAACGUCACAUUCAGAUCCUCUACCAAAACAUGACUGUGUCGUACAUUUAUUUUUCCAAAAAUGGGAGAUUAACUCCACAUGUUAUAUUCAUGAGGAAACAGUUCUAACAACAUAUAAGCAAUGUACGUAAGUUUAGUCCUUUAAAAAAUGUCUAUCUAAAAGAUCGAAAUCAUUCUCCGUUUGUUCUUCAUUCUAUGUUUUUUUAACACAUUGUAAAUUCUACUCCUCUUAUCUCAUAUAUAUAAUUCUUCUCUACUUACGUACAAUGCUUAUAUACUGUUAGAACUGUUUCCCUAAAACCUAACCCUAAACCUUAAUAUAUAUAUAAUUAUUAUAUAAUUAUCUUUAAAGAUUUAAGUGUUUUUUAUUCUAAUUUUUGUAAUUGAAUUGUUUAUUUAAAAAAAAGGAUAAAACAUAGGUGCAGUUCCAAAGAUAAUUUUGGUGCUUUUUUUAUUCAUAAGGUGAUAUCUGUCUAAAACUUAACGUCGCAUUCAGAUCCUCUUCCAAAACAUGACUUUGUCGUACAUUUAUUACUCCAAAAAUGGGAGCUUAACUCCACAUGUUAUAUCAUGAAUGGAAAACAGUUCUAACAUCAUAUAAGCAAUUGCACGUAAGUUUAGUCCUUUAAAAAAAUGCUAAUCUAAAAGAUCGAAUCUCAUUCUCCGUUUGUUCUUCAUUCUAUGUUUUUUUAACACAUUGUAAAAUUC